GGGCGUAAAGGGAGCGCAGGCGNUCAGGAAAGUCUGGAGUAAAAGGCUAUGGCUCAACCAUAGUGUGCUCUGGAAACUGUCUGACUUGAGUGCAGAAGGGGAGAGUGGANUUCCAUGUGUAGCGGUGAAAUGCGUAGAUAUAUGGAGGAACACCAGUGGCGAAAGCGGCUCUCUGGUCUGUCACUGACGCUGAGGCUCGAAAGCGUGGGUAGCGAACAGGAUUAGAUACCCUGGUAGUCCACGCCGUAAACGAUGAGUGCUAGGUGUUAGGCCCUUUCCGGGGCUUAGUGCCGGAGCUAACGCAAUAAGCACUCCGCCUGGGGAGUACGACCGCAAGGUUGAAACUCAAAGGAAUUGACGGGGGCCCGCACAAGCGGUGGAGCAUGUGGUUUAAUUCGAAGCAACGCGAAGAACCUUACCAGGUCUUGACAUCCCGAUGCUAUUCUUAGAGAUAGGAAGUUACUUCGGUACAUCGGAGACAGGUGGUGCAUGGUUGUCGUCAGCUCGUGUCGUGAGAUGUUGGGUUAAGUCCCGCAACGAGCGCAACCCUUAUUGUUAGUUGCCAUCAUUAAGUUGGGCACUCUAGCGAGACUGCCGGUAAUAAACCGGAGGAAGGUGGGGAUGACGUCAAAUCAUCAUGCCCCUUAUGACCUGGGCUACACACGUGCUACAAUGGUCGGUACAACGAGUUGCGAGCCGGUGACGGCAAGCUAAUCUCUGAAAGCCGAUCUCAGUUCGGAUUGGAGGCUGCAACUCGCCUCCAUGAAGUCGGAAUCGCUAGUAAUCGCGGAUCAGCACGCCGCGGUGAAUACGUUCCCGGGCCUUGUACACACCGCCCGUCACACCACGAGAGUUUGUAACACCCGAAG
RNAcentral lists this ribosomal RNA (869 nucleotides) under uncultured bacterium. RNAcentral describes it as "bacterial SSU rRNA". It matches the Rfam family "Bacterial small subunit ribosomal RNA", at positions 556 to 1426 of the family's 1533-position model. The record is from RNAcentral.